CGGGACGUAGCUCAGCUUGGACAAUAGCGCGCGCAUGGGGUGCGCGAGGUCGCUGGUUCGAAUCCAGUCGUCCCGA
This 76-nucleotide transfer RNA is filed under the name Myxococcus sp. AM009. RNAcentral's name for it is "tRNA-Pro". It matches the Rfam family "tRNA". From Rfam's summary of the family: Transfer RNA (tRNA) molecules are approximately 80 nucleotides in length. Their secondary structure includes four short double-helical elements and three loops (D, anti-codon, and T loops). Lineage: Bacteria; Pseudomonadati; Myxococcota; Myxococcia; Myxococcales; Myxococcaceae. The record is from RNAcentral.